RNAcentral lists this ribosomal RNA (491 nucleotides) under uncultured bacterium. RNAcentral's name for it is "partial 16S ribosomal RNA". It matches the Rfam family "Bacterial small subunit ribosomal RNA", at positions 28 to 507 of the family's 1533-position model. The record is from RNAcentral.
GAUGAACGCUAGCUACAGGCUUAACACAUGCAAGUCGAGGGGAAACGAUGAGAGAGCUUGCUCUCUUAGUCGUCGACCGGCGCACGGGUGAGUAACGCGUAUCCAACCUGCCUCUGACCAAGGGAUAACCCGUCGAAAGUCGGACUAAUACCUUAUGCAGUCGUCGGAAGUCAUCUGAUGACGACGAAAGAUUUCAUCGGUGAGAGAUGGGGAUGCGUCUGAUUAGCUUGUUGGCGGGGUAACGGCCCACCAAGGCGACGAUCAGUAGGGGUUCUGAGAGGAAGGCCCCCCACAUUGGAACUGAGACACGGUCCAAACUCCUACGGGAGGCAGCAGUGAGGAAUAUUGGUCAAUGGGCGUAAGCCUGAACCAGCCAAGUAGCGUGCAGGAUGACGGCCCUAUGGGUUGUAAACUGCUUUUAUGCGGGGAUAAAGUGAGGGACGUGUCCUUCAUUGCAGGUACCGCAUGAAUAAGGACCGGCUAAUUCCGUG